Tumebacillus sp. is the source of this 81-nucleotide non-coding RNA. The record is from Rfam. Lineage: Bacteria; Bacillati; Bacillota; Bacilli; Caryophanales; Alicyclobacillaceae.
GCGGUCGUGGUGGAAUGGCAGACACGCACGCUUGAGGGGCGUGUGGGGCAACCCGUGGAAGUUCGAGUCUUCUCGACCGCA